GAUUGGUGCUUGCAUCAUGAUUUACAUUUGAGUGAGUGGCGAACUGGUGAGUAACACGUGGGAAACCUGCCCAGAAGCGGGGGAUAACACCUGGAAACAGAUGCUAAUACCGCAUAACAACUUGGACCGCAUGGUCCGAGUUUGAAAGAUGGCUUCGGCUAUCACUUUUGGAUGGUCCCGCGGCGUAUUAGCUAGAUGGUGGGGUAACGGCUCACCAUGGCAAUGAUACGUAGCCGACCUGAGAGGGUAAUCGGCCACAUUGGGACUGAGACACGGCCCAAACUCCUACGGGAGGCAGCAGUAGGGAAUCUUCCACAAUGGACGAAAGUCUGAUGGAGCAACGCCGCGUGAGUGAAGAAGGGUUUCGGCUCGUAAAACUCUGUUGUUAAAGAAGAACAUAUCUGAGAGUAACUGUUCAGGUAUUGACGGUAUUUAACCAGAAAGCCACGGCUAACUACGUGCCAGCAGCCGCGGUAAUACGUAGGUGGCAAGCGUUGUCCGGAUUUAUUGGGCGUAAAGCGAGCGCAGGCGGUUUUUUAAGUCUGAUGUGAAAGCCUUCGGCUCAACCGAAGAAGUGCAUCGGAAACUGGGAAACUUGAGUGCAGAAGAGGACAGUGGAACUCCAUGUGUAGCGGUGAAAUGCGUA
This 646-nucleotide ribosomal RNA is filed under the name Lactiplantibacillus plantarum. RNAcentral's name for it is "bacterial SSU rRNA". It matches the Rfam family "Bacterial small subunit ribosomal RNA", at positions 71 to 692 of the family's 1533-position model. Lineage: Bacteria; Bacillati; Bacillota; Bacilli; Lactobacillales; Lactobacillaceae. The record is from RNAcentral.